This 585-nucleotide ribosomal RNA is filed under the name Triticum aestivum (bread wheat). RNAcentral's name for it is "partial small subunit ribosomal RNA". The record is from RNAcentral. Lineage: Eukaryota; Viridiplantae; Streptophyta; Magnoliopsida; Poales; Poaceae.
AUGUAUAAGUGGUUGGAAAAACCCCUUAGUGGAUGCAAUUUUAAGUGGAUCUGGAAAGCUAAGAUUCCUCUUAAGAUACAAAUUUUCUUGUGGCAACUUUCGCAAAAUGCUAUCUUAACCAGGCAGGUGAUGCGACAGCGCAAAUGGCCGGGGAACCCGGUGUGUUCUUUCUGUCAACAGGUUGAAACCUCCCAGCAUCUUUUCUUUGAAUGCCCAGUUGCCAGGGUAGUGUGGCGAUCCAUUGGAGUAACCCUUGGGACUGAUCUUUGUCCUAGAAACCAAUGGGAAUUCUUUACAUGGUGCUAUUCUUUUAUACCUGAUUAUGAGACCUUCUAUACUGUGGCCUUGGGUGCAGUCACCUGGUCUAUAUGGCUGGCACGCAAUAGUGCUACUUUUGAGAAAAAAAUGAUCAAUACCCCUUUUGAGAUUGUCUUUACGGUGGUCUCUUUCCUAUUAUAUUGGGCAGGUCUGCAAGACAUGGGCGACGCCAAGCUACUUCGUACGGGAGCGGAGAUGAUUCGCAAUGGGACUCUGAUGCUGAUGAGGACCUGUGAUGCGGCAGUCAAGAUUGGUGGCUCCAGCUGA